AUGCUCGGCUGCUUCCCCGCCGUCGUGGCCGGCCGGAGGCCCCCCAGGUCACCGCCGUCGGGGCUCCUUAACCUCACCUACGACGACGGCUCCACCUCCACCUCCGUCUCCGUCUCGCCGCCCUCCUCCGCCUCCACCUCCUCCCCGGCCUUCCUCGACGAGGUCGACCCCGACGACGCCGACGCGCAGGCCGACCUGUCCUCCGCCAUCGCGUCCCGCCGCCUCUCCCUCGCGCCCCCCGGCCGUUCCAACUCCAUCGUCGACUCCUCCUCCCCCGAGCACGCCGCCGCUCCCUGCCACGGCGGCACCACGUGCAGCGUGCCACCGUCGCAGGAGGCGGUGCGGAGCGUGACGCUGUCGACGGACGCUCCCCGCGCCGAGUUCCUCAAGUCCAUGCUGGAGAUGGCGGAGGCGCUGGGGCUGGACCCGCGCCGCGGCGCCGACCGCGCGCGCAUGCACGACCUCCUCUUGUGGUACAUCGCCAUCAACGACAGCGACACGCUCAGGGACAUCCUCGGCGCAUUCACCGAGCUCCUCUGCAUCCUCAACGGCAACACCACCGGCGACGGCGACGGCACUGCGCCACCAGCGACAGCAGACAGAGCGACGCAUAGGUAG
RNAcentral lists this ribosomal RNA (618 nucleotides) under Triticum aestivum (bread wheat). RNAcentral's name for it is "partial small subunit ribosomal RNA". The record is from RNAcentral. Lineage: Eukaryota; Viridiplantae; Streptophyta; Magnoliopsida; Poales; Poaceae.